AGAGACUUAGGUUAACAUCUUAGACCAAGAGCCUUCAAAGCUCUAUGCGGGAGUGAGAAUCCCCCAGCCUCUG
RNAcentral lists this transfer RNA (73 nucleotides) under Fundulus luciae (spotfin kllifish). Its description in RNAcentral is "tRNA-Trp". It matches the Rfam family "tRNA". Rfam says of the family: Transfer RNA (tRNA) molecules are approximately 80 nucleotides in length. Their secondary structure includes four short double-helical elements and three loops (D, anti-codon, and T loops). Lineage: Eukaryota; Metazoa; Chordata; Actinopteri; Cyprinodontiformes; Fundulidae. The record is from RNAcentral.